Molecule: ribosomal RNA, 159 nt
Filed under: Pterocorys cf. zancleus I
Lineage: Eukaryota; Polycystinea; Nassellaria; Pterocorythidae
Description: 5.8S ribosomal RNA
Rfam family: 5.8S ribosomal RNA
About the family: 5.8S ribosomal RNA (5.8S rRNA) is a component of the large subunit of the eukaryotic ribosome. It is transcribed by RNA polymerase I as part of the 45S precursor that also contains 18S and 28S rRNA. Functionally, it is thought that 5.8S rRNA may be involved in ribosome translocation.
Source: RNAcentral
ACCUUUCAACGAUGGACCUCUUGGUUCUCGCAACGAUGAAGAACGCGGCAAAAUGCGAAAAUGUAGUAUGAAUUGCAGAAUUUAUUGAAUCAUCGACUCUUUGAACGCACAUUGCGCCGAAUUGACCCAGUUAAUUUGGCAUGCUAGGCUGAGUCUCAG